UUCUGUCUGGAGAUUUAAUAUUAAUCAUUUAAUGAUAAGCACUAGUCCAAAAGGAAGAGAAGGUAGCUUGGUGCCUUGGGUCCUGCUUCACAGAUUUUGGUUCAGGAACAACAUUGCACGUUGAAAGGA
Molecule: small nucleolar RNA, 129 nt
Organism: Thamnophis elegans (Western terrestrial garter snake)
Lineage: Eukaryota; Metazoa; Chordata; Lepidosauria; Squamata; Natricidae
Product: small nucleolar RNA SNORA5
Exons: 1
Source: RefSeq, a predicted model, not a curated record